Molecule: ribosomal RNA, 492 nt
Filed under: uncultured bacterium
Lineage: Bacteria
Description: partial 16S ribosomal RNA
Rfam family: Bacterial small subunit ribosomal RNA
Source: RNAcentral
AGUGAACGCUGGCGGUAGGCCUAACACAUGCAAGUCGAACGGCAGCACAGUAAGAGCUUGCUCUUACGGGUGGCGAGUGGCGGACGGGUGAGGAAUACAUCGGAAUCUACUUUUUCGUGGGGGAUAACGUAGGGAAACUUACGCUAAUACCGCAUACGACCUACGGGUGAAAGCAGGGGAUCUUCGGACCUUGCGCGAUUGAAUGAGCCGAUGUCGGAUUAGCUAGUUGGCGGGGUAAAGGCCCACCAAGGCGACGAUCCGUAGCUGGUCUGAGAGGAUGAUCAGCCACACUGGAACUGAGACACGGUCCAGACUCCUACGGGAGGCAGCAGUGGGGAAUAUUGGACAAGGGGCGCAAGCCUGAUCCAGCCAUACCGCGUGGGUGAAGAAGGCAUUCGGGUUGUAAAGCCCUUUUGUUGGGAAAGAAAAGCAGCAGGUUAAUACCCCGCUGUUCUGACGGUACCCAAAGAAUAAGCACCGGCUAACUUCGUG